Molecule: ribosomal RNA, 883 nt
Filed under: uncultured Lobosea
Lineage: Eukaryota; Tubulinea
Description: SSU rRNA
Rfam family: Eukaryotic small subunit ribosomal RNA
Source: RNAcentral
GAUYAGAUACCGUCGUAGUCUCAACCAUAAACUAUGCCGACCAGGGAUUCGGGGCAAGUUAAACUUCAUUGGACGACUCCCCGAGCACCUUGCGAGAAAUCAUUGAGUCUUUGGGUUCUGGGGGGAGUAUGGUCGCAAGGCUGAAACUUAAAGAAAUUGACGGAAGGGCACACCAAGAGUGGAGUCUGCGGCUUAAUUUGACUCAACGCGGGGAAUUUUACCAAGUCCGGACAAAAAAAGGAUUGACAGAUUAAAGCUCUUUCUUGAUUUUUUGGGUGGUGGUGCAUGGCCGUUUGUAGUUGGUGGAGUGAUUUGUCUGCUUAAUUGCGUUAACGAACGAGACCUCAGCCUGCUAAAUAGUUAUGCGAACCGUCUGCACGGGUGAAGGGUGCUGGCCAGUCUGGGCCUUCGGGCUUGGGCAGCUGGCGCAGGGAUCCUUGAUGAGUUCGUAGCAAUACUUCUUAGAGGGACAAUUGGUGUUAAGUCAAUGGAAGUUUGAGGCAACAACAGGUCUGUGAUGCCCUUAGAUGUCUUGGGCGGCACGCGCACUACAAUGAUCAGUUCAACGAGUAUGACUUCCUUGGGCGACAGCCCUGGGUAAUCUUUUGAAAGCUGAUCGUGUUGGGGAUCGAUCUUUGCAAUUUUGGAUCGUAAACGAGGAAUUCUUAGUAAGUCCAAUUCAUCAUAUUGGGUUGACUUCGUCCCUGCCCUUUGUACACACCGCCCGUCGCUCCAACCGAUGUAGGAUCCGGUGAGAUCUCGGGAUGGCGGCCAUUGUUCGCGGGCAACUGUGAACGGGAAGCCAGAACUUGCUCGAACCUUAUCUUGUAGAGGAUGGAGAAGUCGUAACAAGGUCUCCGUAGGUGAACCUGCAGAAGGAUCA